This 641-nucleotide ribosomal RNA is filed under the name uncultured Basidiomycota. Its description in RNAcentral is "eukaryotic LSU rRNA". The stretch from base 212 to 365 matches the Rfam family "5.8S ribosomal RNA". The record is from RNAcentral. Lineage: Eukaryota; Fungi; Basidiomycota.
GAUAUGAGGGAUUUGGUUGUAGCUGGCUCAUUAAUUUGGGCAUGUGCACACCUUCUCUCUUUCAUCCAACACACACCUGUGCACCUGUGAGGCAGAUGGGGAAUUUAUUGAUUGUUUUUUAAGAACAAUUGGUGUUGGACCCUCUGUCUACUCAAUAUAUAAACUCAAUUUAUUUAGAAAUGAAUGUAAUGGAUGUAACACAUCUAAUACUAAGUUUCAACAACGGAUCUCUUGGCUCUCGCAUCGAUGAAGAACGCAGCGAAAUGCGAUAAGUAAUGUGAACUGCAGAAUUCAGUGAAUCAUCGAAUCUUUGAACGCACCUUGCGCUCCUUGGUAUUCCUUGGAGCAUGCCUGUUUGAGUAUCAUGAAAUCUUCAAAGUAAAAUCUUUUGUUAAUUCAAUUGGUUUUGCCUUGGUCUUGGAGGUCUUUGCAGCUUCACACCUGCUCCUCUUUGUGUAUUAGCUGGAUCUCAGUGUUAUGCUUGGUUCCACUCGGCGUGAUAAGUUAUCUAUCGCUGAGGACACUGUAAUAGGUGGCCAAGGGAAAUGCAGAUGAACCGCUUCUAAUAGUCCAUUGACUUGGACACUAUUUUUUAUGAUCUGAUCUCAAAUCAGGUAGGACUACCCGCUGAACUUAAGCAU